Acetothermia bacterium 64_32 is the source of this 75-nucleotide non-coding RNA. The record is from Rfam. Lineage: Bacteria; Candidatus Bipolaricaulota.
GAACGAAAGGGCAAACCCGGAGGGAUCCGGGGGCGCAAAGCCACGGGCCCGGAAAGGGCGGCCGGGCUGCCGAAA